This 241-nucleotide unclassified non-coding RNA is filed under the name plant metagenome. RNAcentral describes it as "partial contains small subunit ribosomal RNA, internal transcribed spacer 1, and 5.8S ribosomal RNA". The record is from RNAcentral.
UCUCCGUAGGUGAACCUGCGGAAGGAUCAUUAAAGAGUAAGGGUCUUCGGGCCCGAUCUCCAACCCUUUGUUUAACUACCAUGUUGCUUUGGCGGGCCCGUCUCACGACCGCCGGAAGUUUGGCUUCGACCAAACUUCUGGCCCGUGCCCGUCAGUGGCCCCUUCAAAUUCUUGAUCAAGUAUGAUGUCUUAGUUAAAAACUUAAUAGUUAAAACUUUCGACAACGGAUCUCUUGGUUCUG